CCUCCCAGGUCACUGCCAAAGAAUUGGGUGAUGAGGUCCAGACCAGUGUCUCGUGAUCCUGCCGUCUGGCUAAGUGGCUACCCUUCCACCCUUGCUGGUCUCCAAAGCAAGUUGCCAUUUUAUUUACCACCUGUGUGAACACAGGGAUGGUUGUAAGCCCCACGUGCAGAAACACCACCUGGGUUUCAAAUCAGGAGUCAGCGAUGCAAGGAGAGAUGAAGAGGAAGAGUCUUUCGUGGCCAGCGGCCGAGGAUGAGAGCAUCAUUCGUGGCUGAGUGGGAGCAGUGGUGGACACUGUCCAGGGCUGGUUGUGUCGUCAGCGUGAGAUGCAAGGUCAGGGCGAGAAUGGAAGAUGAGGCCGCUUGCUGUUUCGACAUUGUCAGGCGUGUCUCAAAUGCCCUCGUGUUCUCACGUUACCCCCGCAAGGUCUCCGAGCAACCAAAAGAAAUGGCUCCUGUUUCUCUCCUCUGCUUUUGUCUUCCCAGGGCAGUGAAAAGACCAACAUGUCCUUGGAACAUUUCACGUCACCUGAAAAACAGCCUUUUUUUUUUUUCCUCCCUAAAAAUAUAUUGACUAAAAUAAAUUAAGUACAAAAAAAAAA
This is a long non-coding RNA of Leopardus geoffroyi (Geoffroy's cat), 601 nucleotides long. RefSeq lists it as uncharacterized. The record is from RefSeq and is a predicted model, not a curated record. The transcript has 3 exons. Lineage: Eukaryota; Metazoa; Chordata; Mammalia; Carnivora; Felidae.